GAUGAACGCUGGCGGCGUGCCUAAUACAUGCAAGUCGAGCGAACAGACGAGGAGCUUGCUCCUCUGACGUUAGCGGCGGACGGGUGAGUAACACGUGGAUAACCUACCUAUAAGACUGGGAUAACUUCGGGAAACCGGAGCUAAUACCGGAUAAUAUAUUGAACCGCAUGGUUCAAUAGUGAAAGACGGUUUUGCUGUCACUUAUAGAUGGAUCCGCGCCGCAUUAGCUAGUUGGUAAGGUAACGGCUUACCAAGGCAACGAUGCGUAGCCGACCUGAGAGGGUGAUCGGCCACACUGGAACGGGGACACGGUCCAGACUCCUACGGGAGGCAGCAGUAGGGAAUCUUCCGCAAUGGGCGAAAGCCUGACGGAGCAACGCCGCGUGAGUGAUGAAGGUCUUCGGAUCGUAAAACUCUGUUAUUAGGGAAGAACAAAUGUGUAAGUAACUAGGCACGUCUUGACGGUACCUAAUCAGAAAGCCACGGCUAACUACGUG
This 497-nucleotide ribosomal RNA is filed under the name uncultured bacterium. RNAcentral's name for it is "partial 16S ribosomal RNA". It matches the Rfam family "Bacterial small subunit ribosomal RNA", at positions 28 to 507 of the family's 1533-position model. The record is from RNAcentral.